RNAcentral lists this ribosomal RNA (766 nucleotides) under uncultured Bacteroidota bacterium. Its description in RNAcentral is "bacterial SSU rRNA". It matches the Rfam family "Bacterial small subunit ribosomal RNA", at positions 28 to 795 of the family's 1533-position model. The record is from RNAcentral. Lineage: Bacteria; Pseudomonadati; Bacteroidota.
GAUGAACGCUAGCGGGAGGCUUAACACAUGCAAGUCGAGCGGUAUUGACCUUCGGGUCGAGAGAGCGGCGGACGGGUGCGUAACGCGUAUGCAACCUGCCUUAUGCAGGGGAAUAGCCCGGGGAAACCCGGAUUAAUACUCCAUAGAUCAGUAGUAUCGCAUGGUACAAUUGGUAAAGAUUUAUCGGCAUAAGAUGGGCAUGCGUCUGAUUAGCUAGUUGGUAGGGUAACGGCCUACCAAGGCGACGAUCAGUAGGGGUUCUGAGAGGAUUAACCCCCACACUGGUACUGAGACACGGACCAGACUCCUACGGGAGGCAGCAGUGAGGAAUAUUGGUCAAUGGGCGCAAGCCUGAACCAGCCAUCCCGCGUGAAGGAUGAAUGCCUUAUGGGUUGUAAACUUCUUUUGUACCUGAAGAAACUCUGGGUCGAGACCUGGACUGCCGGUAGGGUACGAAUAAGCAUCGGCUAACUCCGUGCCAGCAGCCGCGGUAAUACGGAGGAUGCAAGCGUUAUCCGGAUUUAUUGGGUUUAAAGGGUGCGCAGGCGGUUAAAUAAGUCAGUGGUGAAAGUCUGCCGCUUAACGGUAGGAUUGCCAUUGAUACUGUUUAACUUGAGUUUAGGUGAGGUAGGCGGAAUGUGUAGUGUAGCGGUGAAAUGCAUAGAUAUUACACAGAACACCGAUUGCGAAGGCAGCUUACUAAUCUACAACUGACACUGAGGCACGAAAGCGUGGGGAUCAAACAGGAUUAGAUACCCUGGUAGUC